GUGGGGAAUCUUAGACAAUGGGGGAAACCCUGAUCUAGCCAUGCCGCGUGAGCGAUGAAGGCCUUAGGGUUGUAAAGCUCUUUCAGCUGGGAAGAUAAUGACGGUACCAGCAGAAGAAGCCCCGGCUAACUCCGUGCCAGCAGCCGCGGUAAUACGGAGGGGGCUAGCGUUGUUCGGAAUUACUGGGCGAAAAGCGCGCGUAGGCGGACCAGAAAGUUGGAGGUGAAAUCCCAGGGCUCAACCUUGGAACUGCCUUCAAAACUCCUGGUCUGGAGUUCGAGAGAGGUGAGUGGAAUUCCGAGUGUAGAGGUGAAAUUCGUAGAUAUUCGGAGGAACACCAGUGGCGAAGGCGGCUCACUGGCUCGAUACUGACGCUGAGGUGCGAAAGCGUGGGGAGCAAACAGGAUUAGAAACCCGAGUAGUCC
This 425-nucleotide ribosomal RNA is filed under the name uncultured bacterium. RNAcentral's name for it is "partial 16S ribosomal RNA". It matches the Rfam family "Bacterial small subunit ribosomal RNA", at positions 354 to 796 of the family's 1533-position model. The record is from RNAcentral.